Non-coding RNA from Pelobates cultripes (western spadefoot toad), 273 nucleotides. Lineage: Eukaryota; Metazoa; Chordata; Amphibia; Anura; Pelobatidae. The record is from the annotation of a GenBank genome assembly.
AGGUCCUAAAUGAAGCCUGGCACCGGACAACAGUCAAGACAGUGCAAGCACAACAAAAUCUAAAGAUCUUCUCUCAGGAUACCAAGGGAGUGCUGGGCAGGUAAGAGCUGGUGGGUACAGUGACACAGGUGACCUGAACAUGUAAAUGUCUGUGCAGUGUGGAGUUUCUAAUCUAGGGAGGAGCAGUAUCAUUCAAACCAUACAUUGUGAGAAUAAUUCAGAGGUGAUGUCAACUAUCUUGCUGCCAGAGUUUGAAAACACGAUUUGCUAGAG